RNAcentral lists this ribosomal RNA (253 nucleotides) under uncultured bacterium. Its description in RNAcentral is "partial 16S ribosomal RNA". It matches the Rfam family "Bacterial small subunit ribosomal RNA", at positions 524 to 776 of the family's 1533-position model. The record is from RNAcentral.
UACGUAGGGUGCGAGCGUUAAUCGGAAUUACUGGGCGUAAAGCGUGCGCAGGCGGUGAUGUAAGACAGGUGUGAAAUCCCCGGGCUUAACCUGGGAACUGCAUUUGUGACUGCAUCGCUGGAGUGCGGCAGAGGGGGAUGGAAUUCCGCGUGUAGCAGUGAAAUGCGUAGAUAUGCGGAGGAACACCGAUGGCGAAGGCAGCCCCCUGGGAUAACACUGACGCUCAUGCACGAAAGCGUGGGGAGCAAACAGG